CGUCGGCCAGCGUCCACGGCCUGUGCCGCUGAGCUCCCUGUUGUGUGGGGUGAGGACCCACUUAGUGCAAAGGAGAGCCCACCUCCGGCAGAGCAAAGAGACAUCAUCUUAAAAGUGGGAGGUACCAUGUUCCCCACCUCAGUUAAUGACAGGAGGACUGAAGAAGCCAGGUGAAGCUCUAUAACAGAAAAGCACACAGAUCUCAUGUUAUAAGCCAGAAGCAGAAUCCAGUAUGGAGAGCAAAGCAUUCUAGACAUGCUGAUACUUUAUGUGCCCGAGAACUGACAUUUACAACCCAGAGGUACUUUACUACUAAUGAUCUUUGAAGUUAACAAGAUGAAAAUGAGAGGCCACGGAGAACAGAUGGCUUGCCCAAGAUCACCACCCAAUGUGGGACAAUCCAGGAGUGGAAGGCAGGUCACCUACCCAAGGUAGCAGAGAAGAGUACUCAUCAAUAAUGCCCUUUUCCUUAGCCUUCAGAAAAUAUCUACAAAUGCACCACCACUGAAAGGUGACAAGCUUUUAUAGAUUCAUAGUGACUUACAACCAGCGUGGCUGCAGAAAGGAAAAGACGAUCAGUUUUCACAUGUCAUGUAGCAGAGCAAAAGGGAAAAUGAGAAAUGCUACUAAAAAUGCUGAAAUGCUAAUAGGUGCGAAGUCUCUAAUAAAUCCUUCUGUCAAUUCCAUGUCCAAAUUACAAAGAACCUGGAGACAUAGGUUCUGAUGAAAGCGUUCCUAUUCAGGUGAGGGGAAGCAGAAAAUCAGUCUCCAGACUGGCUUAGCUAUCUAAAUGUUCUAAUUAAA
Long non-coding RNA from Talpa occidentalis (Iberian mole), 804 nucleotides. RefSeq lists it as uncharacterized. The record is from RefSeq and is a predicted model, not a curated record. NCBI's taxonomy places the organism in Eukaryota, Metazoa, Chordata, Mammalia, Eulipotyphla, Talpidae. The transcript has 5 exons.